AGUGUCGUAGCUAACGCGAUAAGUGAUCCGCCUGGGGAGUACGGUCGCAAGAUUAAAACUCAAAGGAAUUGACGGGGGUCCGCACAAGCGGUGGAACAUGUGGUUUAAUUCGACACUACGCGAGGAACCUUACCUGGGCUUGACAUGUAUUUGACCGUCGUAGAAAUACGAUUUUCUAGGCGUAAGUCUAGACAGAUACACAGGUGCUGCAUGGCUGUCGUCAGCUCGUGUCGUGAGAUGUUGGGUUAAGUCCUCUAACGAGCGCAACUCCUACCAUCAGUUGCUAUCCUUCGGGAGCACUCUGAUGGAACUGCCUGGGAAACCAGGAGGAAGGUGGGAACGACGUCAAGUCAUCAUGGCCCUUAUGUCCAGGGCUACACACGUGUUACAAUGGCGAGGUACAAAGGGUUGCAAUCCCGCAAGGGGGAGCCAAUCUCAUAAAACUCGUCUAAGUUCGGAUUGAGGUCUGCAACUCGACCUCAUGAAGUUGAAAUCGCUAGUAAUCGCGUAUCAGCAACGACGCGGUGAAUACGUUCUCGGACCUUGUACACACCGCCCGUCACACCAUGAGAGCUGUCUGUACCCAAAGUCAUUUUAGCUAACCGUAAGGAGGCGGAUGCCUAAGGUAUGGGGAGUGAUUGGGGUGAAGUCGUAACAAGGUAGCCGUAGGAGAACCUGCGGCUGGAUCACCUCCUUUCUG
RNAcentral lists this ribosomal RNA (700 nucleotides) under bacterium enrichment culture clone EN5. RNAcentral's name for it is "bacterial SSU rRNA". It matches the Rfam family "Bacterial small subunit ribosomal RNA", at positions 842 to 1533 of the family's 1533-position model. The record is from RNAcentral.